This 497-nucleotide ribosomal RNA is filed under the name uncultured bacterium. RNAcentral's name for it is "partial 16S ribosomal RNA". It matches the Rfam family "Bacterial small subunit ribosomal RNA", at positions 28 to 507 of the family's 1533-position model. The record is from RNAcentral.
GAUGAACGCUGGCGGCGUGCCUAAUACAUGCCAGUCGAGCGAACAGAUGAGGAGCUUGCUCCUCUGACGUUAGCGGCGGACGGGUGAGUAACACGUGGAUAACCUACCUAUAAGACUGGGAUAACUUCGGGAAACCGGAGCUAAUACCGGAUAAUAUAUUGAACCGCAUGGUUCAAUAGUGAAAGACGGUUUUGCUGUCACUUAUAGAUGGAUCCGCGCCGCAUUAGCUAGUUGGUAAGGUAACGGCUUACCAAGGCAACGAUGCGUAGCCGACCUGAGAGGGUGAUCGGCCACACUGGAACUGAGACACGGUCCAGGCUCCUACGGGAGGCAGCAGUAGGGAAUCUUCCGCAAUGGGCGAAAGCCUGACGGAGCAACGCCGCGUGAGUGAUGAAGGUCUUCGGAUCGUAAAACUCUGUUAUUAGGGAAGAACAAAUGUGUAAGUAACUAUGCACGUCUUGACGGUACCUAAUCAGAAAGCCACGGCUAACUACGUG